RNAcentral lists this ribosomal RNA (490 nucleotides) under uncultured bacterium. RNAcentral's name for it is "bacterial SSU rRNA". It matches the Rfam family "Bacterial small subunit ribosomal RNA", at positions 9 to 507 of the family's 1533-position model. The record is from RNAcentral.
GAGUUUGAUCAUGGCUCAGGACGACGCUGGCGGCGUGCUUAACACAUGCAAGUCGAGCGGAAAGGCCCUUUCGGGGGUACUCGAGCGGCGAACGGGUGAGUAACACGUGAGUAAUCUGCCCUUGGCUUUGGGAUAACUACCGGAAACGGUGGCUAAUACCGGAUACGACCACUCCUUGCAUGAGGUGGUGGUGGAAAGUUUUUCGGCCAGGGAUGUGCUCGCGGCCUAUCAGCUUGUUGGUGGGGUAAUGGCCUACCAAGGCUUCGACGGUGGCCGGCCUGAGAGGGUGACCGGCCACACUGGGACUGAGACACGGCCCAGACUCCUACGGGAGGCAGCAGUGGGGAAUAUUGGACAAUGGGCGGAAGCCUGAUCCAGCAACGCCGCGUGAGGGAUGACGGCCUUCGGGUUGUAAACCUCUUUCAGUACCGACGAAGCGCCGAUGAUGGUGGUGACGGUAGGUACAGAAGAAGCACCGGCCAACUACGUG